Molecule: ribosomal RNA, 373 nt
Filed under: uncultured organism
Description: partial 16S ribosomal RNA
Rfam family: Bacterial small subunit ribosomal RNA
Source: RNAcentral
GUAGGGUGCAAGCGUUAAUCGGAAUUACUGGGCGUAAAGCGUGCGCAGGCGGUUUUGGUAAGUCUGUCGUGAAAGCCCCGGGGGCUUAACCUGGGGAAUUGCGAUGGAGACUGCAAGGCUUGAAUCUGGCAGAGGGGGGUAGAAUUCCACGUGUAGCAGUGAAAUGCGUAGAGAUGUGGAGGAACACCGAUGGCGAAGGCAGCCCCCUGGGUCAAGAUUGACGCUCAUGCGCGAAAGCGUGGGGAGCAAACAGGAUUAGAUACCCUGGUAGUCCACGCCCUAAACGAUGUCUACUAGUUGUCGGGUCUUAAUUGACUUGGUAACGCAGCUAACGCGUGAAGUAGACCGCCUGGGGAGUACGGUCGCAAGAUUG